UGGGGAAUUUUGCGCAAUGGGCGAAAGCCUGACGCAGCGACGCCGCGUGGAGGAUGAAGGCCCUUGGGUCGUAAACUCCUGUCGGGUGGGAAGAAAGCUCCAGGGUGAACAGCCCAGGAGACUGACUGUACCACCGGAGGAAGCCCCGGCUAACUCCGUGCCAGCAGCCGCGGUAAUACGGAGGGGGCAAGCGUUGUUCGGAAUCAUUGGGCGUAAAGGGCGCGUAGGCGGCCUGUCAAGUCAAGUGUGAAAUCCCUCGGCUCAACCGAGGAACCGCACUCGAUACUGUCGGGCUAGAGUCCGGGAGGGGAUGGUGGAAUUCCCAGUGUAGCGGUGAAAUGCGUAGAUAUUGGGAAGAACACCGGUGGCGAAGGCGGCCAUCUGGACCGGAACUGACGCUGAGGCGCGAAAGCUAGGGGAGCGAAUGGG
Molecule: ribosomal RNA, 429 nt
Filed under: uncultured bacterium
Lineage: Bacteria
Description: bacterial SSU rRNA
Rfam family: Bacterial small subunit ribosomal RNA
Source: RNAcentral